UACGUAGGGUGCAAGCGUUGUCCGGAAUUAUUGGGCGUAAAGAGCUCGUAGGCGGUCUGUCGCGUCGGAUGUGAAAAUCAGGGCUCAACCCUGGACCUGCAUUCGAUACGGGCAGACUAGAGUUCGGCAGGGGAGACUGGAAUUCCUGGUGUAGCGGUGAAAUGCGCAGAUAUCAGGAGGAACACCGGUGGCGAAGGCGGGUCUCUGGGCCGAUACUGACGCUGAGGAGCGAAAGCGUGGGGAGCGAACAGG
RNAcentral lists this ribosomal RNA (252 nucleotides) under uncultured bacterium. RNAcentral describes it as "partial 16S ribosomal RNA". It matches the Rfam family "Bacterial small subunit ribosomal RNA", at positions 524 to 776 of the family's 1533-position model. The record is from RNAcentral.